This 482-nucleotide ribosomal RNA is filed under the name uncultured bacterium. RNAcentral describes it as "partial 16S ribosomal RNA". It matches the Rfam family "Bacterial small subunit ribosomal RNA", at positions 28 to 523 of the family's 1533-position model. The record is from RNAcentral.
AGUGAACGUUGGCGGCGUGGAUUAGGCAUGCAAGUCGAGUGAGAACCGUAGCAAUACGGGGACAGCGGCGAAAGGGACAGCAAUGUGUAGGUACCUACCUCCGGGUUCGGGAUAGCUGCGGGAAACUGCAGGUAAUACCGAAUAACGUCUCCGGACCAAAGGUGUGAUUCCACCUGGAGAGGGGCCUGCAUCCUAUUAGCUUGUUGGCGGGGUAACGGCCCACCAAGGCGACGAUGGGUAGCGGGUGUGAGAGCACGACCCGCGUCAUUGGGACUGAGACACUGCCCAGACACCUACGGGUGGCUGCAGUCGAGGAUCUUCGGCAAUGGGCGCAAGCCUGACCGAGCGACGCCGCGUGCGGGAUGAAGACCUUCGGGUUGUAAACCGCUGUCGUAGAGGAGGAAGUGCAGGGGGGUUCUCCCCUCUGUUUGACCUAUUCUAGGAGGAAGGACGGGCUAAGUUCGUGCCAGCAGCCGCCGUAA